RNAcentral lists this unclassified non-coding RNA (845 nucleotides) under Hevea brasiliensis (rubber tree). The record is from RNAcentral. Lineage: Eukaryota; Viridiplantae; Streptophyta; Magnoliopsida; Malpighiales; Euphorbiaceae.
GGAGUUAAAACUGUACCACAAAUUUAGCAUUUAGCUUUAUUCCUCAGUUGCUAAAAAUCAUCUUUCAUCACUUGUGUUUUGCGAUUUAGUAUUUGUUUGAUUGGUUGUUUCCAAUUCGAUUGUGUUUUUGGUUGUUAUUUUGGUUUUCAAUAAAAAUUUGAAGCAUGGCUACUUAUCUGAUUUCUAAAAUAUGUAGUUGUUCAUUUAUUUAUGUGCCUAUGGAUGUGCAUGAAUGCGUGGAAUAUUUUUUUGAUUCCUGAUUUUCAAAUAUACUAGAAACAAACUUGAAACACCAACCCUCCUCCCCCCUCUCCCCCCUUCCUUCGCUUUCACUUUGACCACUCUAUUUUUAUUUUUAUUUUUGGGGUUGAAGGGUAGGGAGAGGGAGGUGUAAGAGGAGUUAAAUUCUCAACUGUCUGCCUGCACUAUGGGGCAGGUUUUUGACUACUAGGCUAUUGGCUUCAUGGAACUUUUGCUUUUUGUAUAUGAUCUUAUAAGAAGGAGUACUAAGCUAGUUUUAAUGCCCAAACCUAUUGUAUCAUGUUAUGAAAAUUUUUCAUAGGAGCUUAAAUAGGCUUUAGCAGUUGAUUCUUAAACUUAUUUUUCUGGGUUAUAAAGUUUUGGUUUAUGUAUUAUUUAUCCUUGGUUUUAGGAGUGAGGGUAUUUUAUUUUUUUACUCUUUUGCUACGAUGGACUAAUCUGUAGUGUUUUGAGUCUUAUUUAGGUCUAUUAAUUUUAGUGGCGCUUUAUAUUAAUUUCUAAAAGUUGUUUGGCAUCUGAUCUUUUUAGUUUCCUGUUUGCAGUCUAAAUUCUUGUUAUAGACUACUCAACUCAACUCAACUCAA